GCUUUAAUAGUUUAAAGAAAACAUUGGUCUUGUAAACCAAAAUUGAAUAUAUACUUCUUAAAGCU
RNAcentral lists this transfer RNA (65 nucleotides) under Thalassina squamifera. RNAcentral's name for it is "tRNA-Thr". It matches the Rfam family "tRNA". From Rfam's summary of the family: Transfer RNA (tRNA) molecules are approximately 80 nucleotides in length. The record is from RNAcentral. Lineage: Eukaryota; Metazoa; Arthropoda; Malacostraca; Decapoda; Thalassinidae.